GAUGAACGCUGGCGGCGUGCCUAAUACAUGCAAGUCGAGCGAACAGAUGAGGAGCUUGCUCCUCUGACUUUAGCGGCGGACGGGUGAGUAACACGUGGAUAACCUACCUAUAAGACUUGGAUAACUUCGGGAAACCUUAUCUAAUACCGGAUAAUAUAUUUAACCGCAUGGUUCAAUAGUGAAAGACGGUUUUGCUGUCACUUAUAGAUGGAUCCGCGCCGCAUUAUCUAGUUGGUAAGGUAACGGCUUACCAAGGCAACGAUGCGUAGCCGACCUGAGAGGGUGAUCGGCCACACUGGAAAUGAGACAAGGUCCAGAAUCCUAAGGGAGGCAGCAGUAGGGAAUCUUCCGAAAUGGGCGAAAGCCUGAAGGAGCAAAGCCGCGUGAGUGAAGAAGGUAUUAGGAUCGUAAAACUCUGUUAUUAGGGAAGAAAAAAUGUGUAAGUAACUAUGAACGUCUUGACGGUAACUAAUCAGAAAGCCACGGCUAACUACGUG
RNAcentral lists this ribosomal RNA (497 nucleotides) under uncultured bacterium. RNAcentral describes it as "partial 16S ribosomal RNA". It matches the Rfam family "Bacterial small subunit ribosomal RNA", at positions 28 to 507 of the family's 1533-position model. The record is from RNAcentral.